GACGAACGCUGGCGGCAUGCCUAAUACAUGCAAGUCGAGCGGAGUUGAUGGAAAGCUUGCUUUCCUGAUACUUAGCGGCGGACGGGUGAGUAACACGUAGGCAACCUGCCCUCAAGCUUGGGACAACUACCGGAAACGGUAGCUAAUACCGAAUACUUGUUUUCUUCGCCUGAAGAGAACUGGAAAGACGGAGCAAUCUGUCACUUGGGGAUGGGCCUGCGGCGCAUUAGCUAGUUGGUGAGGUAACGGCUCACCAAGGCGACGAUGCGUAGCCGACCUGAGAGGGUGAUCGGCCACACUGGGACUGAGACACGGCCCAGACUCCUACGGGAGGCAGCAGUAGGGAAUCUUCCGCAAUGGGCGAAAGCCUGACGGAGCAAUGCCGCGUGAGUGAUGAAGGUUUUCGGAUCGUAAAGCUCUGUUGCCAGGGAAGAACGCUUGGGAGAGUAACUGCUCCCAAGGUGACGGUACCUGAGAAGAAAGCCCCGGCUAACUACGUGCCAGCAGCCGCCGCCG
RNAcentral lists this ribosomal RNA (516 nucleotides) under uncultured bacterium. RNAcentral describes it as "partial 16S ribosomal RNA". It matches the Rfam family "Bacterial small subunit ribosomal RNA", at positions 28 to 523 of the family's 1533-position model. The record is from RNAcentral.